Magallana angulata is the source of this 2469-nucleotide long non-coding RNA. RefSeq lists it as uncharacterized. The record is from RefSeq and is a predicted model, not a curated record. The transcript has 2 exons. Lineage: Eukaryota; Metazoa; Mollusca; Bivalvia; Ostreida; Ostreidae.
UGCAACUUCUACCUGUAUGUAAAAUAGAUUUUUAUAAACGAAUUUCUAUCUAUGACAUGUUUUAGUAUUCAAGUAUAUUCAGCCUCUUACAAGCCUUUUCAUGUAUAUUUGUUACUAAAAUAUAUGAUAAGUCCAAGUUCCAUCAACCUGAAAAUGUAUUCCUAAAUGUACAUGAGCAUUUGAUUUUUAUUUAUAUAAUCACCACCAUUGCCAAAUUGAAUGCUGUAUGAUGUGAUAAUUUCUCUGCUUUCUUGUAAAUUUAACAUUAAUCGUUUUUACACUUUUAGAAUCAAAAGCCCAAAAUUGGGAUCAUAUAAUUUUUAUUUUUUCAAGAUCCUCAAUAAGGGACAUAGAAGGUGUAAUAAUGUCAUUACCACAAUGGCAAACAGGGAUAUUGUAUUAUCAGCAAAUAAUCUAAUGUUAAUUUAUAUGCCAUCAGCAAUAUUAUUAGUAUAUAUCAAAAAACAAAAAAGGGUCAAGCACUGAUACUAACCCUUGUGGUAUCCCAGAUUUAUUAAUUUCAAUCUCAAAACCACUUUACAAUGGUAUAAAGAGACCAUGUAAUUCAUAAACAUUUGAGAUUUUCUAAUUCAAUAACAAUUUUCCUAGCAUGUAUAUAGUUUUGUAAGCUAGUAGAUGAAAAAUCUUCUAAAUUUACUCUUUGUUAAUUUCUAUCGGUAAGAUAAGCUUCAAUCCACCCCAGAAUAUUUGCACUAAAAAGUAAUUUAUAACAUGCUAAAAUAUUUAUGUACAUGUAUAUGGUAUUCAAAAUAAGUUAUAACUACUAAACAGGGUUUGUAAUUGAUUAUGAUUGUACAUAUGUAUUUAAAAUAAACUUUAAUGCAACCAUGUUUGUUUUCCUUCUCCUCAAAAGAAUGAAAAUUGAGUAAUUUUACAUACAAUAAAAUUAAUUAUAGCUACUAUCAAUCAUAAAACAAACCCUUUUUAAUUAUUAAAAUUUACUACUAUUACAUGUAUUAAUUUUUUUUUAAAUUUUAAACAUAAUUUUAAAAAAUUGCCUGUUAUUUUUUUUUAUAUUUAAUUAAACAUUUACUUAAGGUCAAUAAUUGAACAGACUAUAGUUCACCUGUAAUUAAUUUCCUUUGUUCCUUGACACCCAUAAAAAAAUUCAGAAUUUUAGGUAAGUGGGAAGACACCUUCCUGAUUUCCAAUCCAAUUGGAUGCUUACCUGCUAUACUUGUUUAUUGAUAGGUAAAGCUAUGAAUUGAACAUAUUUUAUUGAAUAAAUCAAAAGGAUAAGACACAAGUUCUAAAACUUAGAUAGUCUUCUCCUAGUAAUGAAAUUUUAUAAAUAUUGCCAUACAUUGAAUAUAUUGAAAAAUUGAAUACACAUAAAUAUACAUGAAUAAACAAUCUACUGCAUAUAUAAUAUCACCUUAUAAAUUCAAACAUUUUUUGAAAAACAACCACAUUCACUCAAAAUUUGUAUCGUCUUGAAAAUUUCAGUGUUUUGUAUAUUUGUCAACGAAUCAUCCCCCCAUAAUAAUAAAUGUGCAUCUAUAAUGUGUACAUAACGUAAUGUCAAUAGCUUAUUCAUUAGAGAAUUCCGAGGUCUUGUAUACUUUUUACAGACAAAAAACAAAUGGUAUGCAUCUUCUGAUAAGCCACACGAACAGUUUGGACUGGCUAUUAAGUUACAGCGGAAUAAGUCAGAAUUUAAAAUACAGUUGUGUCUCAAACGUGUAUGUGUUAUGUUUAAAAAUCUUUUAAAGCUAUGUAUAUAUCAACAUAUAUUACAUUAUAAAUUCUUUUAUUGUCAAUUCAUGUGUUCUAUAUUUGGAAGGUGGGAAAGGCUAUUAAUGGGCAUUUUGUCACCAAUGUUACCAGUAACCAUUGUAACAAUUAAGUCACAAAUAUAUUAAAUUGUAUUCAAUCAUAAAAAAUAAAUAUUGUCACCAGUUACCUGGUUACAGCUGUCUGAAAACCCCAUAGAAAGUUUAACAUUUAGCAUUGUAACCAAUGUUACUGGUUAUAAAUGGAGUGGGGUAAAAGUCAGGACUAAUUUUCCUCUUCAAAUACAUGAAGUUCGUAAAGGUAGUCGAAUUCAUCUUAUAAAUAUUUAUUUUUAAACCGUUGUAGUAACUUCCCACAGGUAGUAGCUAGAGUUUACCUGUUUGCCUAAUCUCAGCGAGAUUCGUCAAGACUGACAAAUUUGGACGGACGUCACUGGUCUGAGAUUCGGUAGAGACGUCCGUCAAAAAUGAAUCUCGUUGAGAUUUCAAGUACUGUUAGUGUUAACCGGGAGUUCAUUUUCCCGCACAGCAUCGAUAAUGGUUUUCAGAGCACGUUCAAUACCAUGCCGAAUCCUAGACACUUCGUUGUUAUCAGGAAGCUUAACUUUGUUAUCCAGAUCAAUCUACCUAAACUGACAUCAACAACAAGCGAGAAUCUUUGUUUACUUAACCACUGCAUGAAGACUUAAAGGUUUUAAAUAAAAAAAAAUUAAAA